UGGGGAAUAUUGCACAAUGGGCGAAAGCCUGAUGCAGCAACGCCGCGUGGAGGAUGAAGGCCUUCGGGUUGUAAACUCUUGUCUUCUGGGACGAUAAUGACGGUACCAGAGGAGGAAGCCACGGCUAACUACGUGCCAGCAGCCGCGGUAAUACGUAGGUGGCAAGCGUUGUCCGGAUUUACUGGGCGUAAAGGAUGCGUAGGCGGAUAUUUAAGUGGGAUGUGAAAUACCCGGGCUCAACCUGGGUGCUGCAUUCCAAACUGGAUAUCUGGAGUGCGGGAGAGGAAAGUGGAAUUCCAAGUGUAGCGGUGAAAUGCGUAGAGAUGAGGAAGAACACCAGUGGCGAAGG
RNAcentral lists this ribosomal RNA (349 nucleotides) under uncultured bacterium. Its description in RNAcentral is "bacterial SSU rRNA". It matches the Rfam family "Bacterial small subunit ribosomal RNA", at positions 355 to 721 of the family's 1533-position model. The record is from RNAcentral.